RNAcentral lists this ribosomal RNA (497 nucleotides) under uncultured bacterium. RNAcentral describes it as "partial 16S ribosomal RNA". It matches the Rfam family "Bacterial small subunit ribosomal RNA", at positions 28 to 507 of the family's 1533-position model. The record is from RNAcentral.
GAUGAACGCUGGCGGCGUGCCUAAUACAUGCAAGUCGAGCGAACGGACGAGAAGCUUGCUUUUCUGAUGUUAGCGGCGGACGGGUGAGUAACACGUGGAUAACCUACCUAUAAGACUGGGAUAACUUCGGGAAACCGGAGCUAAUACCGGAUAAUAUUUUGAACCGCAUGGUUCAAAAGUGAAAGACGGUCUUGCUGUCACUUAUAGAUGGAUCCGCGCUGCAUUAGCUAGUUGGUAAGGUAACGGCUUACCAAGGCAACGAUGCAUAGCCGACCUGAGAGGGUGAUCGGCCACACUGGAACUGAGACACGGUCCAGACUCCUACGGGAGGCAGCAGUAGGGAAUCUUCCGCAAUGGGCGAAAGCCUGACGGAGCAACGCCGCGUGAGUGAUGAAGGUCUUCGGAUCGUAAAACUCUGCUAUUAGGGAAGAACAUAUGUGUAAGUGACUGUGCACAUCUUGACGGUACCUAAUCAGAAAGCCACGGCUAACUACGUG